Clupea harengus (Atlantic herring) is the source of this 1116-nucleotide long non-coding RNA. Lineage: Eukaryota; Metazoa; Chordata; Actinopteri; Clupeiformes; Clupeidae. The record is from Ensembl.
CCCUUUGCUACACCAGUCCACACAACCCUCAACCCCCCACGUGGAGUUCCCGUCCUCCAGUAUCCGGAUAUAGCCUAUAGGCCGCCUAUUUGUUUAACCACCCCUCUGUCAACACUGGCAGCAAAUCAGGGUUUGUGUCUGGUCUCCAACUUAGAGUGGCCUAUAGCUUAGCAGCAGAAACCUCUGUGUUGCUAUUCGGAGAGUACUGUAAGUGUGAAUAGGAGAGUACUGUACUGUAAGUGUGAAUAGGAGAGUACUGUAAGUGUGAAUAGGAGAGUACUGUACUGUAAGUGUGAAUAGGAGAGUACUGUAAGUGUGAAUGGGAGAGUACUGUAAGUGUGAAUAGGAGAGUACUGUAAGUGUGAAUAGGAGAGUACUGUAAGUGUGAAUAGGAGAGUACUGUAAGUGUGAAUGGGAGAGUACUGUAAGUGUGAAUGGGAGAGUACUGUAAGUGUGAAUAGGAGAGUACUGUACUGUAAGUGUGAAUAGGAGAGUACUGUAAGUGUUAAUAGGAGAGUACUGUACUGUAAGUGUGAAUAGGAGAGUACUGUAAGUGUGAAUGGGAGAGUACUGUAAGUGUGAAUGGGAGAGUACUGUAAGUGUGAAUGGGAGAGUACUGUACUGUAAGUGUGAAUAGGAGAGUACUGUACUGUAAGUGUGAAUAGGAGAGUACUGUAAGUGUUAAUAGGAGAGUACUGUACUGUAAGUGUGAAUAGGAGAGUACUGUAAGUGUGAAUGGGAGAGUACUGUAAGUGUGAAUGGGAGAGUACUGUAAGUGUGAAUAGGAGAGUACUGUAAGUGUGAAUGGGAGAGUACUGUAAGUGUGAAUGGGAGAGUACUGUAAGUGUGAAUAGGAGAGUACUGUAAGUGUGAAUGGGAGAGUACUGUACUGUAAGUGUGAAUAGGAGAGUACUGUACUGUAAGUGUGAAUGGGAGAGUACUGUACUGUAAGUGUGAAUAGGAGAGUACUGUAAGUGUGAAUAGGAGAGUACUGUAAGUGUGAAUGGGAGAGUACUGUAAGUGUGAAUAGGAGAGUACUGUACUGUAAGUGUGAAUAAGAGAGUACUGUAAGUGUGAAUAGGAGAGUACUGUAAGUGUGAAUAGGAGAGUACUGUA